GUGACCAAAUACUUAUUUUCCACCCUGAUUUACGAAUAAAUUCUUUACAAAUCCUACCAUGUGAAUUCAUGGAUUUGUUUUUCACAUUCUGUCUCUCACAGUUGAAGUAAACCUCUGGUGCAAAUUACUGACCUCUGUCAUCAUUUUAAGUGGGGGAACUUGCACAAUCGGUGGCUGACUAAAUACUUUUUUGCCCCACUGUAUCCUCAACUCACCUCAGCAUCACUGUCACCAUAGCCAGGAUUAUGCACCUGAAUCAUUUGACUCUAAUCUGCAAUCUACUGACAUUUAGCAAUGAAACUUAUACACAGUGUAAUUUUAAAAACAAAACUGUUUGCAACAAAUAGUGACCAAAUUUAAAGUUGGAUGAUGGGCUAACGUUUUAUUUGUUUUGUUCACUCACUGAUUAGGUUCACACAUCGAAAAUGGUACUUAAAGAAGGAACUUCAAAUUCAAAUUCAAAUUCAAAUUUUAUUUGUCACGUACACAGUCAUACACAGUACGAUAUGUAGUGAAAUGCUUGGACAACUGCUCGUGACCUAAAGAAAACAAAAAAGGAAAAGGCUAUGAAUAAGAUAGGAAAUAAAUAUGAAAAAUUAAAAAGGGUAAAUUUAACUAAGAAGGAAUAAAAUAUAAAUUAAGGUUAAAAAUGAAAUAACUGUACAACACAAAUUAGAAUGAAGGGUAAAUUUAACUGGGAAGGAAUAAGAUAAAAUAUAUAAAUUAAAGUUGAAAAUAAAAUAACUGUACAACAAAAUACACAAUAUAGAAGUAUAUAAGAAUGUAUGAAGAAAUCUAAAUCUAAAUAAAUAUAUACACAAUAACAGCAGCUGUACAAGUAUUAACCGGAAAUGAAGAAUAUAGUGACCAGUGUUGUGCAAAAAACAAUUCCAGUGUGUGUGUAAGAACCAUAUGUGUGGGUCAGUACUGUGUGGUGGUGUGAUUGAGAGACCGUAUCGCCUGCGGGAAGAAGCUCCUCCUCAGUCUCUCUGUGUUGGUCUUCAGGGAGCGGAAUCGCUUUCCUGACCUCAACAGAGAGAACAGUCUGUUGUUGGGAUGGCUGAGGUCCU
This is a long non-coding RNA of Astatotilapia calliptera (eastern happy), 1070 nucleotides long. NCBI's taxonomy places the organism in Eukaryota, Metazoa, Chordata, Actinopteri, Cichliformes, Cichlidae. The record is from Ensembl.